AAGGGAAAGCAACAAGGCUAAAGCUUACCUUAGGGGUGGCAAACUAGCUGAAAUAAACAGUGCUCUCAACCAAACAUGUGUGCACAGCAAACAAUAGGAAGAGGUGCUCAAACCCUGGUGCUCCAAACUCACAACUGUGUGCUUCACCCAGGUGACUAGCCUCCCCUUCGGCACACUCAGCCUUGGACCAAACUAGGAGAAAAAAAGGA
This is a long non-coding RNA of Sinocyclocheilus rhinocerous, 209 nucleotides long. RefSeq lists it as uncharacterized. The record is from RefSeq and is a predicted model, not a curated record. NCBI's taxonomy places the organism in Eukaryota, Metazoa, Chordata, Actinopteri, Cypriniformes, Cyprinidae. The transcript is spliced from 2 exons.